ACUCCUACGGGAGGCAGCAGUAGGGAAUUUUUCGCAAUGGAGGAAACUCUGACGGAGCAAUACCGCGUGUGGGAAGAAGAUUUUCGGAUUGUAAACCACUGUUGUAAGGGAAGAACGUUAUUAGUAGGAAAUGGCUAAUAAGUGACGGUACCUUACCAGAAAGGGACGGCUAACUACGUGCCAGCAGCCGCGGUAAUACGUAGGUCCCGAGCGUUAUCCGGAAUUAUUGGGCGUAAAGGGCACGUAGGCGGACAAAUAAGUUUGAUGUCAAAUAUGAUGGCUCAACCAUCAAGAGGCGUUGAAAAACUGUUUAUCUAGAAUCUCGGAGAGGUAAAGUGGAAUUCCAUGUGUAGCGGUGGAAUGCGUAGAUAUAUGGAGG
RNAcentral lists this ribosomal RNA (379 nucleotides) under uncultured bacterium. RNAcentral's name for it is "bacterial SSU rRNA". It matches the Rfam family "Bacterial small subunit ribosomal RNA", at positions 335 to 704 of the family's 1533-position model. The record is from RNAcentral.